AAGAUCCUGGCUCAGAUUGAACGCUGGCGGCAGGCCUAACACAUGCAAGUCGAGCGGAUGAAGAGAGCUUGCUCUCUGAUUCAGCGGCGGACGGGUGAGUAAUGCCUAGGAAUCUGCCUGAUAGUGGGGGACAACGUUUCGAAAGGAACGCUAAUACCGCAUACGUCCUACGGGAGAAAGCAGGGGACCUUCGGGCCUUGCGCUAUCAGAUGAGCCUAGGUCGGAUUAGCUAGUUGG
This 237-nucleotide ribosomal RNA is filed under the name uncultured bacterium. Its description in RNAcentral is "partial 16S ribosomal RNA". It matches the Rfam family "Bacterial small subunit ribosomal RNA", at positions 13 to 252 of the family's 1533-position model. The record is from RNAcentral.